GCCUGGGUGGCUCAGUCAGUUAAGCAUCUGAUUUUGGCUCAGGACGUUAUCUCAUGGUCCAUGAGUUUGAGCCUCAUGUCGGGCU
RNAcentral lists this transfer RNA (85 nucleotides) under Felis catus (domestic cat). It matches the Rfam family "tRNA". From Rfam's summary of the family: Transfer RNA (tRNA) molecules are approximately 80 nucleotides in length. Their secondary structure includes four short double-helical elements and three loops (D, anti-codon, and T loops). The record is from Rfam by way of RNAcentral. Lineage: Eukaryota; Metazoa; Chordata; Mammalia; Carnivora; Felidae.